GGAGCAGAAGCAGCACAGUUCCCUGCCUUCAAUCCAGAGCAGCUUUAAUAUUGCAGCAAUGUGGAUGUCUGCAUAAAAGCAGACUUGUUUUUUUUUCUCUCCACUUCUGCCUCCUGGAAAGAAUAUUCUCUUAAUCUUUUGGAAUUAAACCAGCCAAAUAGAGUGUAACAUGUUUCUUAAUCAUUUGGGCCACCUUCUCCUUUCUGAAUGGAUGUUGGUUUCAGUGGGAAUGUUUUCUGUGGUUGUGGAUCAUUGAGAAGAUGGUGCUGACUUGCUCUGGUAAGCUGAAGAAACAACCAAGCACAUGGCAUGAAGUGAAAUAAGGACAAAUGCAAGAGACACCCUGGAGACAGGCAACUGAGGACAAAGAAAAUCUGUGGGGAAAGGGUGGUGAGCCAGGUGCCCACCUGUCAGCAUUAUUGCUGAGGCACAUCUCAGCCAGAUCUACCCUUCUCUCUUCGAUGCCCUGUUCUGGGACUGCAGAGGCUGACUCAUGGAUUUCACUGAUGAGCUGUCUUGCUAUUCAGGUUCCAGGUGGAUUUGGCUGAUGGAAGGAGAGGGAAUCAAGGUAGUUAUUCUUCCAGUUCUCUCUUUACCUAUUCGUUGUGGUUGGCUACAUGCCUCUACUAAAUGCCACAGCUCCUGAUGGAAGGCCUUUUCUUUCGAUUUUGGGUACUGGUAACUACUCCCUCCUCUUUCCCUUGGGCUUAGAGUUGUAAUAGGCUCUGAUAACAAUAGUUUUAGGCUGUUACAAUAGCUCUUGUUGGUUUUCAAACGUCAUUCCAGCAUUUAUAAACAGUUUGAUUGAGCUUCAGUUUCCUCAUCUGUAAAAUUAGGAUACCAUGUGAGUCGUGAUCACAGCACAUAUAAACUCCUAGCACAGUGUCUGGUCAUGCAAUAAGGGCUCAGUAAGUACUAUUUGCUUUCUGCUUUUCUUAAGAGCUUCUAAUUUCUUAAGAGGAACAAGUCGAAUGGCUGCAGAAAAGUUUAAACCAAAUUAAGUCAGUGAUUUCGGGAUUAUUAGGAAAGGACACAUUUGGGAAAUAAUUUGUAGGCAUUGUAAGCAACACUUGCAGAGUCUGGGUGUACGGGAUAAGAGAGAGGGAGGAAUCAGGCACAAAUUUGAUUUUUCUGCAUGUAUUAUUGUGUGGACAGUAGGGAGAGAAAAUGCAGGGGAGUUUCUGUAUUAGAGAAUAAGAUGAGUUUCGUCAGAACAAGUAGAAUUUGAAAUGCCUGUGAGAUGACCAGGUGACAAUGUUAGGUAGGUGGAUGGCUGGGUGGCACUGGAGAAGGGUCUGGGCAGGCGAGGAACAUUUGAGAAUCAUCAUUAUACUAAGAAAUAGAUAAGAAAGUAAAAGAGGCUGCUGUGUGUCAUGGGUUUGGUGGGAAGACAGAUGCUCUAAUGCCAAAAGGACUAGACUGCAAGUCAAGUGAUUUUACUUCUUUUUUUAAAUUUCAAUUUUUAAUUUUAAUUUUUUAUAGAGAGAAGGUCUCAUUCUGUCAUCUAGGCUGGAGUGCAGUGGCACCAUCAGAGCUCACUGCAGCCUCCAACUCCUUGGCUCAAGUGAUCCUCCCACCACAGCCUCCCAAGUAGCUUGGACUACAGGUGCAUGCCACUGCAUCCAGCUAAUUUCAGUACUUUUUUUUGUAGGGACGGACUCUUAUUAUGUUGCCCAGGCUGGUCUUGAACUCCUGGCUUCAGGCCAUGCUCCCGCAUCGACUUCCCAAUGUACAUAAGAUUACAGGCAGGAGCCAUUGUGCCCAGCUGGUUUUAUUUCUUGAUCUGGUUUGCCAGUCACUGGCUGUUUAACCUUGGAGACGUUACUUAGUUGUACUGACAGUCUGUUUUCUCCAGCAAAUGUAAAAUGAGAAGGUUGGACUAUGUGAUAUCUAUGAUGCUAUAGAACUUCCGAUCUAAUUGGGAGGCAAAUCAUAGAAUAACUAGAGAUUACUGAUUGUGUUAUCAAGCUCUUGCUGGAGGAAAGCCCCCAGAGACCCAUGAUCUUCCUAAUCAAUGGCUCUUGUUUAGUGAGAAGGCAGUACACAAAAUCUAAGACUCAGUUUCAUGGAAUAAUGAUAGCAACAACAACAAUGGCAAUAUUUAUUGUGACUGCUUAUUGUGUACCAGUUACUGUUCAUGGGUUUUACAUCUAUUAAUAUUUAAUCUUUGCAAUAACCUUAUGAAGUAGAGACUAUUAGGAACCUCCAUUUUACAAAAAACGAGAGCAUAAAAAGGUCAAAUAUCCCACUCAAAGUCAUGAAGGAAGUAAGGAUUGAAACCCAAGCCACUUGGUUCCUGAGCCCAAGUAUUUAAUCACAGACUAUCUGCUUGUAGGGAAAACCGUGAGCUCUGGGGAAAUAAGAGGCAGAGGCAUACACAUUGGAACUAGUAAUGUUUUUAGAUUGACCAUGGUUUUAAGAGAGGCAUGGUCAGGAAGCAGACUCAGUUAUGAUUAUACUUACCAGUUGUAGGAAUCUUAGUUGCUGGCUAGUAUUUUCACUAUACUUGCAGGUAGUAUAAUAGAUACACUUUUAAUUGGUGCAUUUUGGUAAGAACUAAAAAAAAUUACAUAUUAACACGUGUAUAAUACAUACUGACAUAUGUUAAUAUAUGCAGAUUUAACCUUUUGUGCACUUUCACUCCUCCUCCUCCUACCCCAAGAAUUACUUUUUCUGAAUUGUGCUUGUCUGUGUUACCAUCAUCUACAAUGAAGGUAGGUGAAAGACAGACGACUCUUAUCCUUGUGAGUCUUGUAAGGGUAUUAUUGAGGUCAUUGCUUGCUUACAUUCUAUAAAGUCUCUCUUAUAAGGACUCCGCAGGUGAAAUUCCCUUGUGGUCUUGUUAAUAUUAAUUGUGCUUCUUAUACCAACCACUUUAGAUAUUUUUAUUAGAGACCCUUUAGACAAACAAAUGGCCAAGUUAUUCCUUUCACAGUGGUCUCUUGAAAACAUAAGAGGCAAAUCUGUGGCCAAUGGUAGUGUCUGUAUUUAUGCAGUUUUAACUUUAUUCCUGGUCCCAGUUUGUGACCCUUUGUUUGCUUUUCUUUCUUUUUCCACCUGCUUUUCUUUUGUAGCAUUUUCUUGUAGUUUAUGGAACCAUAACCGAGGCAGACUUUAAAUCACUAUCUGUGUGCAUGUAACCCCACCCGCAUAUUCAUGAAAUGCAUAUCCACAGUGCAUUUUGGACUCUCUCUCCAGAAGGCUGGCUUGCCAACACAGGGACUAUUACGGUUCUAUAACUAUGCAACAUACUUUCUGAUAACAAGGAGGUCAUCAAAAAGAAACUGAUAAUUAGGAGGAUUAUCACAGCCAUCAAUUUACAAUCCCUUUGAUGAGUGUUGGUUGCACUUAAUGACUCACUGAAGAUCAAGUCACACUCCCUUUCAGCAGUGAGCUUAAUAAGCAUUAGUGUGAUGAGGGCAAUGAGUAAACAAUCAUCUUUGUGAUGAUUACAAUUUGGUCUAGGCAGGACGGAAAAUAUUCUUGACUGGAC
RNAcentral lists this long non-coding RNA (3493 nucleotides) under Papio anubis (olive baboon). RNAcentral describes it as "lncRNA (ENSPANG00000044592.1)". Lineage: Eukaryota; Metazoa; Chordata; Mammalia; Primates; Cercopithecidae. The record is from RNAcentral.